RNAcentral lists this ribosomal RNA (1372 nucleotides) under uncultured bacterium. Its description in RNAcentral is "bacterial SSU rRNA". It matches the Rfam family "Bacterial small subunit ribosomal RNA", at positions 28 to 1381 of the family's 1533-position model. The record is from RNAcentral.
GAUGAACGCUGGCGGCGUGCCUAAUACAUGCAAGUCGAGCGAACGGACGAGAAGCUUGCUUCUCUGAUGUUAGCGGCGGACGGGUGAGUAACACGUGGAUAACCUACCUAUAAGACUGGGAUAACUUCGGGAAACCGGAGCUAAUACCGGAUAAUAUUUUGAACCGCAUGGUUCAAAAGUGAAAGACGGUCUUGCUGUCACUUAUAGAUGGAUCCGCGCUGCAUUAGCUAGUUGGUAAGGUAACGGCUUACCAAGGCAACGAUGCAUAGCCGACCUGAGAGGGUGAUCGGCCACACUGGAACUGAGACACGGUCCAGACUCCUACGGGAGGCAGCAGUAGGGAAUCUUCCGCAAUGGGCGAAAGCCUGACGGAGCAACGCCGCGUGAGUGAUGAAGGUCUUCGGAUCGUAAAACUCUGUUAUUAGGGAAGAACAUAUGUGUAAGUAACUGUGCACAUCUUGACGGUACCUAAUCAGAAAGCCACGGCUAACUACGUGCCAGCAGCCGCGGUAAUACGUAGGUGGCAAGCGUUAUCCGGAAUUAUUGGGCGUAAAGCGCGCGUAGGCGGUUUUUUAAGUCUGAUGUGAAAGCCCGCGGCUCAACCGUGGAGGGUCAUUGGAAACUGGAAAACUUGAGUGCAGAAGAGGAAAGUGGAAUUCCAUGUGUAGCGGUGAAAUGCGCAGAGAUAUGGAGGAACACCAGUGGCGAAGGCGACUUUCUGGUCUGUAACUGACGCUGAUGUGCGAAAGCGUGGGGAUCAAACAGGAUUAGAUACCCUGGUAGUCCACGCCGUAAACGAUGAGUGCUAAGUGUUAGGGGGUUUCCGCCCCUUAGUGCUGCAGCUAACGCAUUAAGCACUCCGCCUGGGGAGUACGACCGCAAGGUUGAAACUCAAAGGAAUUGACGGGGACCCGCACAAGCGGUGGAGCAUGUGGUUUAAUUCGAAGCAACGCGAAGAACCUUACCAAAUCUUGACAUCCUUUGACAACUCUAGAGAUAGAGCUUUCCCCUUCGGGGGACAAAGUGACAGGUGGUGCAUGGUUGUCGUCAGCUCGUGUCGUGAGAUGUUGGGUUAAGUCCCGCAACGAGCGCAACCCUUAAGCUUAGUUGCCAUCAUUAAGUUGGGCACUCUAAGUUGACUGCCGGUGACAAACCGGAGGAAGGUGGGGAUGACGUCAAAUCAUCAUGCCCCUUAUGAUUUGGGCUACACACGUGCUACAAUGGACAAUACAAAGGGCAGCGAAGCCGUGAGGUCAAGCAAAUCCCAUAAAGUUGUUCUCAGUUCGGAUUGUAGUCUGCAACUCGACUACAUGAAGCUGGAAUCGCUAGUAAUCGUAGAUCAGCAUGCUACGGUGAAUACGUUCCCGGGUCU